UGGGGCCCGUCCUUCCUGGGGUGAGCUUGGACUUCAGGCUGUGGCCCAUGGGGAGACUUGGGAGGGCUUUAAGAAGGGGUGAGGGGAGGCGUGGAGGACAGGGGAGGAUUGUUGAGGCUUUCCAGGUACGGAUGCUUGGGCCUGAGCUAGGGUCUCUCGAGCAAGCCUCCCUUUAUUUGCAAACGCCAUUAUGAGCUGUAGCUUUGGAAUGUUUGCACCUCCAGAUCCGAGUCCUAUGAAGGAAUCGACCCCUAGUGGGAAACAGGGUCCUGGGGGACUCUCAGCUCCCAGGUGACCUCCCGUGACCGUUCACAGAAGCCACAUUCUCAUAUUGUUGGAGUUAGAUAUUCGCGUGCAACACUCCUGGCUUCUCAGGGGUGCCUGGCCUCUGCCCUCUCCGCUGAGUUAUCUUCUCCCGCUCAGAACAUUCUACAGGCCGGGGGCAGCACCAUGAAUCCCUCCCGUGUGAAUCCAGUCUCAUCCUCUAACCCGCGGCCACGUGGCCCGGACAGUGCCGUGACAGGACACUGAGCGAGGAGACCCUGGCCGUGGUCAGGGGCUGUAGGACACAGGGAUAGCAGCUGUCCCUUAUAAGAAAUAUCAGCGAGGGCCAAGAACACCUGCGGCUACCCGCAGGGCACACAGAAGGAAGCGAGGAAACUGCCCUGCUACUUCUGGACAGGGCACAGCGGAGGAGUGCAUGACCGUCACGUAGAUACAGAGCCGCGGCUGCCCUGACAGACGGCGGUGCUCGGCCGGGAGACGGCAGGACCCUCACUGACCGUGGCCCCUGGCGCCAAGCCGUAACCAAGCGGCCAUUUGGCUUGCUGGUGGCACGUGUGGGAUGUCCACUCAACUUAGAACACGGGAGCCUUUUCUUUAUUAGUUUUCAGUGGACUCUUUUUAUAAAGGGAAGAAUUCCUGAUGUGCUAUGCCUCAAAUAAGAAGAUCACACGUUUUAGAAAAGAUGUCGCUUGAUGAGAGUGACCAACAGGAGGACCGACUGACCUUUUUCACGUCCCGCACCAGCAGGUGAAGUGUGUUGGGUGGGCCCAGUCUCUGAAAGACAAGCAUUUAGCCAUAUUCAACCUUUUUUUUUUUUCUUUUCAACCCAGAGUAAAAUCCUGCCCUACCACAUUGAAUUAAUGAGUUGUGAGAACCUGAGUACGACCCACCAUCAGCCUGUUUUAUGAACCAGGAUCCACUGGAGUUGAGAUGUAUCCAACACAUUAAAAAACACGUGAAACACUUUGUACUGGAUUGUUUUCAAGAGCAUCUCAACGGUGGACAAAACAGAGUGAAACAUUCACCGAGUUUUAGCAAGCAACUGCCGAGGGUCAUUUCUGCUACUUAAAAUCCGAGGUCAGGAAAGGAGAAGGCAACUCCCAAAACUUACGUCAUCAUCAUGUAAACCGAGGGGAUUCCAUUCGAAUGCUGCCAUUCUAACAGAGGGGAGCGCCUUGCUGUGAAGACUUAGUUCUAGUCUUUCACCAAAGCCUCAAAGCAAAAGUGGAAGUCCUGGGUUCCACUUGUCUGAUCACCCCUGGGUGAACUUUCAGCCUGACGCUGUGGCAGCCAGUCUCUUGUAUCCCGGGUGUGAGCUUCCUGCUAAUCACACCCCGGGAGGUGGCAGGUGAUGGCUCAAGGACGUGGGUCCCUGCCAUUCACGUAGGAAACCCAGACUGAGUCCCAGGCUCCUGGCUUUGGCCUGGCCAACCCUGACUGUAGCAGAUGGCGGGUGAAAAAAAUCCAGCUCCAGAGCUGGACACUCAGAAGGAAUCUCCGGCCGUGAAAGCCGAGGACGCCAGCAGCACACUCAGAAAGAGGAAGUUCAAGGACGGAGAGGCCAAGAAGGGGAAGCCCCAGGGCAGCUGAGCCCCUGAGAGGGACUGGCAGGUGCUCCCGGUCGGCCAUGCGUUCCGGGAAGACCCUGAACAAGAAGUGCUCGGCUCCCAAAUCCAGCACUGAAAAAGAAGAAAGCUCUUGCUACUGUCACAGAACCAGUUGGUGGUGACGAGAAUUACGGCACCAGUUCAAGUCCACUGUGAGGCUCAGCAGCAAACAGUCCCUGUGUAGUCACGACAACACAAAAUCUGGUUUCUCCAUCUGCAGACUCAACAGAGACCAAGUAUGAAAACUUCGUGGUGAUUAUAGAACUUAAUAAUGGCUAAAGAAUGAUACAUAAGUGUUACGUCUCAUUCUUUACAUGUCAAAGAUGAGGCUAAUUGAAUUAGGAAGGCUGACGGUGUAAAGCGAGUGAGAAGGAGAAGUAGAGAGUGAGUCCGCUCAACACGAGAGACUGAAGCUGAUGAAACAGGCGGAUGGCUCAGUGGGGUCUCUACCAUCGGUGAGAUGACGGUGGAAGAAUUCAGCAGGCAACUGUCAAACCCGGAUGGGGCGGUGGAAAAGAAAGCAGCGCAAGUGAACCGCUCCCUUGUAUACCCAACUGAUAAUUUCUAAGUGAUUAAUAAGGAAAAGGUCCAUGUUGGGAGGCAACAACCAGGAGAUCAAACAUAAAGACAACUAAACACUUUGGGAGGUGGGCUGGGGGCUUCUGCUGGGCUGUUUAUGGUCUUUAUUGUUUGAUUUUUAAACGCCAUAUGUAUGUGUUAACUGAAAAACAGAAAGCAAAAAAUACUAAGCAACAUUAAAAGGUGGUUAAAGGAA
Non-coding RNA from Oryctolagus cuniculus (rabbit), 2667 nucleotides. The record is from RefSeq and is a predicted model, not a curated record. Lineage: Eukaryota; Metazoa; Chordata; Mammalia; Lagomorpha; Leporidae.